This is a long non-coding RNA of Triticum aestivum (bread wheat), 463 nucleotides long. RefSeq lists it as uncharacterized. The record is from RefSeq and is a predicted model, not a curated record. NCBI's taxonomy places the organism in Eukaryota, Viridiplantae, Streptophyta, Magnoliopsida, Poales, Poaceae. The transcript is spliced from 2 exons.
AACCAUUGUACUGAAACAGUAGCACGAGGACAGCCGAAGGAAACUGAAGCUACCUCCUCUUUUCUCCUGCCCAUGGCGCUCGCCGGUAGCAAUGCACACCCCACGGUUCUUGUCCUCUUCCUGGUUCUCACGAUGAUGAUGCCCUCCUCGCCACCGUCACGCUGCCAUGCACUUAGGAUAUGGUCGUGCAUCAAUGCUGCGGUGCAGCCCUGCCGUGUAGUGACGUGCAUGGCUGAGUGCGAAGCCAGGGGAGCUGCAGGACCUAUUUCUCUUUCCCGCUGCAACCACACUGUCCACCCCGAGCAGUGCUGCUGCAGGAACGUCUAGCUCAACUCAGUGUGACAGCCAUGACGGCUAAGCACCCCUUUGAGCCGCUUUUCAUUCUGGCAUAGCCUGGUUCUGUUGCUUAUUCCAAUGAGCUUGUUGCUUAUCGUCUACAAUAAACCAAUAUUUUUGGGGUUUC